Molecule: long non-coding RNA, 750 nt
Organism: Oncorhynchus tshawytscha (Chinook salmon)
Lineage: Eukaryota; Metazoa; Chordata; Actinopteri; Salmoniformes; Salmonidae
Source: Ensembl
AGAUGAGACUAAUGAAUGAUUUUCAGAAGGAAGUGACAAUCUUUUGGAUUCGCCACCCACAAAAGUACAUGGAGGAGAUAAUAGAGUACUUUCUCCCUCCUGUCCUUACACCCUGAACACGGAUUAGAGACACGAGGGUCAGAGAAAGCCUUGCACCUCAUUGCCUUACUGGAUAUCAAAGCCACCUGGUUUAAUAGGUGGAUGGUGUGCACAAUAUAAACCUAGCUUCUAUUAACACUACAAGAAACCAACCCCCCCGCCCAUAAGUAGGCUAACUAAUUGUCAGUGCUGAGUGAAGAUGAUGUCAGUCCUGUCUCCUACAGCAGGACCGUGGUCUACAGGCGUCUGGAGAUGAAGUACAAGUCUCUGAUUGUAGCAGCUCUUCAGCAGUGUAUCUAUUGAGUCCUGUGACCCAUUCAUAGACGAGACGGGUGAGGUCAUCCACUCUAUCGAGAACCAGCACAUCAGUGAGUUCAACUUUAAUCUACACAGGACGAAAGAUAUAUACAAAAUAAUUGAUGUACACAACUGUACACAAUUCUGAGCACCAGUUUUGACUCGCAUUGCUAAAAGUACUCUACACUGCCAAAAAGCUGGAAUACACAUAUUUUGUUCACUCAUUAUGUGUGCUAGGAAGGCUUCUCAUGUACAUGAAUGGGAGAAAGCUCUUUCCCAUCAAAGUGGGGAAAAGCAAAGAUCCAGUCAGUCUGACAGACCUGGUUGUCAUUCUGAUUAGCAUCAUGUACCAAC